Molecule: non-coding RNA, 2518 nt
Organism: Schizosaccharomyces pombe (fission yeast)
Lineage: Eukaryota; Fungi; Ascomycota; Schizosaccharomycetes; Schizosaccharomycetales; Schizosaccharomycetaceae
Source: the annotation of a GenBank genome assembly
AUAAUAUGGACUCAACAAAACGAAUUUGCUACCUAACUUGUACAAUGCAUAAUUAGAAUUUAGUUUCAAUAAUUUUCACAAUUUCAGAUGUAGAAAUUUAGAGUUUAUUAUUUUCAGAAUGAUUAAGCAGCAAAUCUUUAAUAACAAUAUAAAGAGAUGCAUUCUCUACUACAAAAUUCUAAAAAUUCUGCGUCAAAUUCAACAUUUCCUCUAUUUUGUAAAAUUGUAAAACAACGUAAUAAAUUGUUACAGGACUCAUUCAUAAAGACUAUUUACACUUUAUUUAAUAUAGAAUAUAUAUAUGAUGCGGCAGAAAAGCAAUUUGAACGUUUGGGACUGUCACCUACCAGAAACUACACCAGCCAAUAUAGCACAAGCAUAGGUUCUCUAUAGAGGUUGCUUGUAAAAUCAGCUUCUCUACUUGACUUGGUACAUCCAAUUGCUGUUGGGGUUUGAAAUCCCGACCAGUAAGUUUAUUGGACACACGAUUAAGAACGGUUAUAGCUCUUUGAUUGAGUAUCUCGGGUUUUUGACGUUCUUCAAGUGUAAUUCCUUCUUCGUUUAAGCGUUUCCGGUGUAAACCAUCAAUUGUCUCACCGAGAAGUGUAUUAGGUUCGUUAGAUUGCUUUUCAUCGAUAGAAGGUGAAUAUGCAGGAGCAAGGCGCCAGUUAAUAAGAGGAUCGUAAACGAAAGCUUCUAAAACUGCCAUCACAGACUCCUUAUUAGUACGAAGAACUCGCAUAACAUGUUCGCAUGUUAUCCGGAACGUCCCCUCUAUACCACUAACUUCCAUUGCGUUAACAAGCAUUCGCGUAAGGCGGAAAGGAAUCUUCUCGGGAAACUUUUCUCGAUGCAUUGCUACUUCAAAACAAUCUCCAAAAUCGAUAUGGAUGAUAUUACCUGUAUACCUGUCCAGCAUCAAAUUGGAAGGAUGACGAUCGCCCAAACCUAAGAUGUACCCUACCAUUGACAUCACCGCAAGAGUACGAGAAUAGUUAGUUCGCCUAUUAAGCCAAGCUUCUGAGCUACGACUCUUCAGCCAUAAAACGCGGUAUAAAUCCUGCCCCGUAGUACUAAGUAGGGCAUAUUCAAAGACUUCAACUUUCUGAAGGAGAGUGAGACGAUCGUAAUCUGGAGCCAUCUGAAUGAUCAACCUAUGUUCUAUGUUGAGUAAAAUCUUUCUGCUUUCUCUGUAGUCACGAAUUAAGACAUGCAAAGUAUCGCUAUCCAAAACCCAGCCUAAAAGGCCUGAAUCCGGUGAUAAAGGAAUCACUGGAUACCUUUGGAUUGAAAGUAAGCGCUUAAAAGUUUCCGGGUCAGCUAGUAACAGAUUGUUACAAAGCCCAAAUAGCUGCAUAACACGUUCAUCUUGUCUGAUGUCCUCGUGACCCUUUAAAACAUAUUGAUAAUCUUUUCCAUCACUGCCUUUAAUACUCAGUCGUCUCGGACGUUGCUUAGAUGUUAUCACGUUGAAUGUAGGGUAAAACUUUACAAUUCUUAUAACAGGUUUCCCGCUAACGUAUGUUCCCGGAACAGCUAACUCAAGAUCAUGUACAUGUAAGAGUUUAGGAGAAACGUAUUGUAAAUCUAAUGUUGUCAACUGAGGUAGCUGUUUACGAAUUUUCUUGAAAACUUGGUAAUAUAAGUCCCAGGCCUGAUUUAAGUCUGAUAUAUCACCAGUUUGCUCAAAACGGAUACAACAAUCCCUUGCUUCGACUAAGUCACGUCCAAAGGCUUGUUGGAAAGAAAUUUCACGAAGCGUUUCCGGACCACGUUCCAACAUUUCAUGCAAUGGUCUCAACACGGCAAACAUACCCUCAAUGUUAUGAUCACCAAAAUACAAUCGUGAAGCCUCUUCCAAUCCUUCAUGCCAUUGUUCAUGCCAAAGGAUUGCAGCUCUGAUAAGCUCAUGACUAACAAGUCUUGCUUGUUCAACUAGACGUGGACUAUGUGUUUUCAAGGAAUCCAUAAUUGCUAAAGCAGCGUUUUGCCUAGCAGAACUCUGCGAUUUUGCUGCUACAGUUAAAGGAUAAACAAGAGCUUGGGGAUGCGCGCGACCUACAUCGGAAAGCAACUGAUGCACAGAUUUACGAACACUCAAAGAGGAGGCAUGAAUUCUCGCAAUAAGCUGAGGUAUAACGUCCAGCCAGAUAUCGAUGUUCACAGUGGAUAUACCAACGUUCAAAGUAUUAAUUACAUUGCUAUUAUUGCCGAAUUUAAACCAAAGAUUAAGAAGGCGCAAGGUGUCCUGAAGGUUACCUUUGCUUAAAGCAAUUGACUUAAAAAAGCCUUUGACUGCUGGAAUAAUAUACUGCUCAUAUGCAGCACUUGGGAUUUGCUCCUCUGAUUGCUCCAAAAACUUUACAGCUUCGAAAUUAGCUAAUGCCCAAGAGUGCCAAGCUUUAUACCAUUUAGAAUCAAAUUGCGUAGCAUACAUAUAUGAUUGAAGAACUCCAUCAAAAGAUCCUUCUGACCAAUUAUUCUCAAUUUCUUGCUGCCAUUGACCUUGCUUGUGAUA